UACGAGAGGUCCAAGCGUUAAUCGGAAUCACUGGGCUUAAAGGGUGCGUAGGCGGGCCUGUAAGUGCUUUGUGAAAUCCCAUGGCUCAACCAUGGAAUUGCAGGGCAUACUGCGGGCCUUGAGGAAUCUAGAGGCCGGUGGAACGAUAGGUGGAGCGGUGGAAUGCGUAGAUAUCUAUCGGAACGCCAAAGGUGAAGACAGCCGGCUGGGGAUUUCCUGACGCUGAGGCACGAAAGCGUGGGGAUCAAACAGG
RNAcentral lists this ribosomal RNA (253 nucleotides) under uncultured bacterium. RNAcentral's name for it is "partial 16S ribosomal RNA". It matches the Rfam family "Bacterial small subunit ribosomal RNA", at positions 524 to 776 of the family's 1533-position model. The record is from RNAcentral.